UGCCAGCCGCCGCGGUAAUACGGAGGGGGGGAGCGCUGUUCGGAAUUACUGGGCGUAAAGCGCACGUAGGCGGACUGGAAAGUAUGGGGUGAAAUCCCAGGGCUCAACCCUGGAACUGCCUCAUAAACUAUCAGUCUAGAGUUCGAGAGAGGUGAGUGGAACUCCGAGUGUAGAGGUGAAAUUCGUAGAUAUUCGGAAGAACACCAGUGGCGAAGGCGGCUCACGGGAUCGAUACUGACGCUGAGGUGCGAAAGUGUGGGGAGCAAACAGGAUUAGAUA
This 279-nucleotide ribosomal RNA is filed under the name uncultured bacterium. Its description in RNAcentral is "partial 16S ribosomal RNA". It matches the Rfam family "Bacterial small subunit ribosomal RNA", at positions 506 to 784 of the family's 1533-position model. The record is from RNAcentral.